RNAcentral lists this ribosomal RNA (253 nucleotides) under uncultured bacterium. RNAcentral's name for it is "partial 16S ribosomal RNA". It matches the Rfam family "Bacterial small subunit ribosomal RNA", at positions 524 to 776 of the family's 1533-position model. The record is from RNAcentral.
UACGUAGGGUGCAAGCGUUGUCCGGAAUUAUUGGGCGUAAAGAGCUCGUAGGCGGUCUGUCGCGUCUGCUGUGAAAACUCGGGGCUUAACCCCGGGCCUGCAGUGGGUACGGGCAGACUAGAGUGCGGUAGGGGAGAGUGGAAUUCCUGGUGUAGCGGUGAAAUGCGCAGAUAUCAGGAGGAACACCGGUGGCGAAGGCGGGUCGCUGGGACGUAACUGACGCUGAGGAGCGAAAGCGUGGGGAGCGAACAGG